GCAGCCAAUGAUGACAACAUCUCCCACUCUGUUCGAGUUUCCCAACCAUGAGACCACUCCACAUGCACUACCAUCUGAGGCCGC
Small nucleolar RNA from Dipodomys ordii (Ord's kangaroo rat), 84 nucleotides. NCBI's taxonomy places the organism in Eukaryota, Metazoa, Chordata, Mammalia, Rodentia, Heteromyidae. The record is from Ensembl.